GAAAGAGUUGUCAAGCAUUGGAAUAGGCUGCACAGAGAAGUGGUGAAAUCACCAUCCCUGUUGCUUUUCCAAAUUUUUUUCUUCUAAUGAGACUGCACAUCACAGAAGCAAACACAUACAAAUAAAACGGGCCGUUCUUCAUCUGUGGUUUUGAAGAAUGACCAGGGAUUGGAGAACAAGGCUACUACCUCUCCAUCCCACUGGCCAGGCUAGAAGUCCAUCAGUUGACUAUCAUCAGAAAGAAC
Hirundo rustica (Barn swallow) is the source of this 245-nucleotide long non-coding RNA. RefSeq lists it as uncharacterized. The transcript is spliced from 3 exons. Lineage: Eukaryota; Metazoa; Chordata; Aves; Passeriformes; Hirundinidae. The record is from RefSeq and is a predicted model, not a curated record.